This 700-nucleotide unclassified non-coding RNA is filed under the name Homo sapiens (human). Its description in RNAcentral is "partial baculoviral IAP repeat containing 5 transcript variant 5". Lineage: Eukaryota; Metazoa; Chordata; Mammalia; Primates; Hominidae. The record is from RNAcentral.
AUGGGUGCCCCGACGUUGCCCCCUGCCUGGCAGCCCUUUCUCAAGGACCACCGCAUCUCUACAUUCAAGAACUGGCCCUUCUUGGAGGGCUGCGCCUGCACCCCGGAGCGGAGAGGAACAUAAAAAGCAUUCGUCCGGUUGCGCUUUCCUUUCUGUCAAGAAGCAGUUUGAAGAAUUAACCCUUGGUGAAUUUUUGAAACUGGACAGAGAAAGAGCCAAGAACAAAAUUGAGAGAGCUCUGUUAGCAGAAUGAAAAAAUUGGAAGCCAGAUUCAGGGAGGGACUGGAAGCAAAAGAAUUUCUGUUCGAGGAAGAGCCUGAUGUUUGCCAGGGUCUGUUUAACUGGACAUGAAGAGGAAGGCUCUGGACUUUCCUCCAGGAGUUUCAGGAGAAAGGCAAAGGAAACCAACAAUAAGAAGAAAGAAUUUGAGGAAACUGCGGAGAAAGUGCGCCGUGCCAUCGAGCAGCUGGCUGCCAUGGAUUGAGGCCUCUGGCCGGAGCUGCCUGGUCCCAGAGUGGCUGCACCACUUCCAGGGUUUAUUCCCUGGUGCCACCAGCCUUCCUGUGGGCCCCUUAGCAAUGUCUUAGGAAAGGAGAUCAACAUUUUCAAAUUAGAUGUUUCAACUGUGCUCUUGUUUUGUCUUGAAAGUGGCACCAGAGGUGCUUCUGCCUGUGCAGCGGGUGCUGCUGGUAACAGUGGC